Molecule: ribosomal RNA, 497 nt
Filed under: uncultured bacterium
Lineage: Bacteria
Description: partial 16S ribosomal RNA
Rfam family: Bacterial small subunit ribosomal RNA
Source: RNAcentral
GAUGAACGCUGGCGGCGUGCCUAAUACAUGCAAGUCGAGCGAACAGAUGAGGAGCUUGCUCCUCUGACGUUAGCGGCGGACGGGUGAGUAACACGUGGAUAACCUACCUAUAAGACUGGGAUAACUUCGGGAAACCGGAGCUAAUACCGGAUAAUAUAUUGAACCGCAUGGUUCAAUAGUGAAAGACGGUUUUGCUGUCACUUAUAGAUGGAUCCGCGCCGCAUUAGCUAGUUGGUAAGGUAACGGCUUACCAAGGCAACGAUGCGUAGCCGACCUGAGAGGGUGAUCGGCCACCCUGGCACUGAGACACGGUCCCGACUCCUACGGGAGGCAGCAGUAGGGAAUCUUCCGCAAUGGGCGAAAGCCUGACGGAGCAACGCCGCGUGAGUGAUGAAGGUCUUCGGAUCGUAAAACUCUGUUAUUAGGGAAGAACAAAUGUGUAAGUAACUAUGCACGUCUUGACGGUACCUAAUCAGAAAUCCACGGCUAACUACGUG